RNAcentral lists this ribosomal RNA (683 nucleotides) under uncultured beta proteobacterium. Its description in RNAcentral is "bacterial SSU rRNA". It matches the Rfam family "Bacterial small subunit ribosomal RNA", at positions 52 to 724 of the family's 1533-position model. The record is from RNAcentral. Lineage: Bacteria; Pseudomonadati; Pseudomonadota; Betaproteobacteria.
CACAUGCAAGUCGAACGGCAGCAUGAUCUAGCUUGCUAGAUUGAUGGCGAGUGGCGAACGGGUGAGUAAUACAUCGGAACGUGCCCUGUAGUGGGGGAUAACUAGUCGAAAGAUUAGCUAAUACCGCAUACGACCUGAGGGUGAAAGUGGGGGACCGCAAGGCCUCAUGCUAUAGGAGCGGCCGAUGUCUGAUUAGCUAGUUGGUGAGGUAAAGGCUCACCAAGGCGACGAUCAGUAGCUGGUCUGAGAGGACGAUCAGCCACACUGGGACUGAGACACGGCCCAGACUCCUACGGGAGGCAGCAGUGGGGAAUUUUGGACAAUGGGCGAAAGCCUGAUCCAGCAAUGCCGCGUGUGUGAAGAAGGCCUUCGGGUUGUAAAGCACUUUUGUCCGGAAAGAAAUGGCUCUGGUUAAUACCUGGGGUCGAUGACGGUACCGGAAGAAUAAGGACCGGCUAACUACGUGCCAGCAGCCGCGGUAAUACGUAGGGUCCAAGCGUUAAUCGGAAUUACUGGGCGUAAAGCGUGCGCAGGCGGUUGUGCAAGACCGAUGUGAAAUCCCCGAGCUUAACUUGGGAAUUGCAUUGGUGACUGCACGGCUAGAGUGUGUCAGAGGGGGGUAGAAUUCCACGUGUAGCAGUGAAAUGCGUAGAGAUGUGGAGGAAUACCGAUGGCGAAGGCAG